RNAcentral lists this ribosomal RNA (490 nucleotides) under uncultured bacterium. RNAcentral's name for it is "bacterial SSU rRNA". It matches the Rfam family "Bacterial small subunit ribosomal RNA", at positions 32 to 498 of the family's 1533-position model. The record is from RNAcentral.
AAUCAACGCUGGCGGCGUGCCUCAGACAUGCAAGUCGAACGAGAAAGUUCCCUUCGGGGAGCGAGUAAAGUGGCGCACGGGUGAGUAACACGUAGGUAAUCUACCUUCGGGUGGGGAAUAACCCAGGGAAACUUGGGCUAACACCGCAUAAUGCAGCGGCACCACAUGGUGACAGUUGUUAAAGCGGGGGAUUUUCGGACCUCGCGCCUGAAGAGGAGCCUGCGGCGGAUUAGCUAGUUGGUAAGGUAACGGCUUACCAAGGCGACGAUCCGUAGCCGGCCUGAGAGGGCGGUCGGCCACACUGACACUGACAUACGGGUCAGACUCCUACGGGAGGCAGCAGUCGGGAAUUUUGGGCAAUGGGCGAAAGCCUGACCCAGCAACGCCGCGUGAAGGAUGAAAUCCCUCGGGAUGUAAACUUCGCAAGAAUGGGAAGAAUAAGUAGGGGACAAUACCCCUAUGAUGACGGUACCAUUUGUAAGCUCCGGCU